ACACAUGAACAUUGACAAUUCGAACGCACAUUGCGGCCCUAG
RNAcentral lists this ribosomal RNA (42 nucleotides) under Frankliniella citripes. RNAcentral describes it as "partial 5.8S ribosomal RNA". The record is from RNAcentral. Lineage: Eukaryota; Metazoa; Arthropoda; Insecta; Thysanoptera; Thripidae.